ACCAGACUCCUACGGGAGGCAGCAGUGGGGGAUAUUGCACAAUGGGGGGAACCCUGAUGCAGCGACGCCGCGUGGGUGAAGAAGCGCCUCGGCGCGUAAAGCCCUGUCAGCAGGGAAGAAAAUGACGGUACCUGAAGAAGAAGCCCCGGCUAACUACGUGCCAGCAGCCGCGGUAAUACGUAGGGGGCAAGCGUUAUCCGGAUUUACUGGGUGUAAAGGGGGCGCAGACGGCGAUGCAAGCCAGGAGUGAAAGCCCGGGGCCCAACCCCGGGACUGCUCUUGGAACUGCGUGGCUGGAGUGCAGGAGGGGCAGGCGGAAUUCCUGGUGUAGCGGUGAAAUGCGUAGAUAUCAGGAGGAACACCGGUGGCGAAGGCGGCCUGCUGGACUGCAACUGACGUUGAGGCCCGAAAGCGUGGGGAGCAAACAGGAUUAGAUACCCCGGUAACC
Molecule: ribosomal RNA, 448 nt
Filed under: uncultured bacterium
Lineage: Bacteria
Description: bacterial SSU rRNA
Rfam family: Bacterial small subunit ribosomal RNA
Source: RNAcentral